RNAcentral lists this long non-coding RNA (235 nucleotides) under Homo sapiens (human). Its description in RNAcentral is "HSALNT0322665". The record is from RNAcentral. Lineage: Eukaryota; Metazoa; Chordata; Mammalia; Primates; Hominidae.
AGACACAGUGAAGGAGUGAGAUGUGAAGGUGCUCUGUCAUUGCCUCAGUCAAGACUUUCAUGGUACAUUGGAAGAAAGAGAAGCGUGAACAAAUUGCAUGAUACUUGAGGUCAUGCUGUGUACCUGUAUUGAACAAGAAUAAGGGAAGAAAGCUGGGAACCUGGAUCUCCCAUAUAUUGGAAGUUUUGUAAAAACCUUGAGGGUCCCUUCCACUACAUAUGGGGAUUAUGGGAAC